ACGCUGGCGGCGUGCCUAAUACAUGCAAGUCGAGCGGACCAAAGGGAGCUUGCUCCUGGAGGUUAGCGGCGAACGGGUGAGUAACACGUGGGCAACCUGCCUGUAAGACUGGGAUAACAUCGAGAAAUCGGUGCUAAUACCGGAUAAUAAAAAGAACUGCAUGGUUCUUUUUGAAAGAUGGUUUCGGCUAUCACUUACAGAUGGGCCCGCGGCGCAUUAGCUAGUUGGUGAGGUAACGGCUCACCAAGGCAACGAUGCGUAGCCGACCUGAGAGGGUGAUCGGCCACACUGGGACUGAGACACGGCCCAGACUCCUACGGGAGGCAGCAGUAGGGAAUCUUCCGCAAUGGACGAAAGUCUGACGGAGCAACGCCGCGUGAGUGAUGAAGGUUUUCGGAUCGUAAAACUCUGUUGUUAGGGAAGAACAAGUGCCGUUCGAAAGGGCGGCACCUUGACGGUACCUAACGAGAAAGCCACGGCUAACUCCGUG
Molecule: ribosomal RNA, 490 nt
Filed under: uncultured bacterium
Lineage: Bacteria
Description: bacterial SSU rRNA
Rfam family: Bacterial small subunit ribosomal RNA
Source: RNAcentral